CCUAGGCUAUAAGCAUUUUUAAAAACCUAUCUCUAGAAUUUAACUGCCUGUUCUUUGACUUGAUUCAUUCAGAUGUUGAAGGUGUGCCUAGUAAUGGUAUUAAGUAAUAGCAGCCACCUUGGGGGUUAUGGGUAUUCUGCAUCCAGCUAGGGAAGGCAACAGGUUGGCUAGUAUCUUUUCAAACAUUAAAGUCCUAGGGACAUACCUUACCUAGGUAAAUAACUUAUGAGAUUAGCAUAAUGCUAGGCUGAGGGGAAAGGAAAACUCUAACAUUUGGCUGUCUUCCACAGGGACUAAUCUGCCUAAUUGCAGUUCUAUCAGCUUCUCUUAGGGGGAUUCAUUGUAGCAUAUGUCACAAGGUUAUGCUAGAAGGGCUUUGUGGAGCAAUAUGGGAAUUCAAAACAUCAAAUCAAUCCAUAGCUAGUCAAUAUCACUUCAUGGAGUGUGAAUAGUAGCUUGCUGUGUAUGUAAUUGUAUGUAAUUUUGUCUAGACACAGUUGUUCUCUCCAUUUGGAACUGCAUUGAGAUGCAUCCAGUUAAGUGUGUGUGCAGGAUAUUCAGAGUAGGAAUCAGUGACCCUGACAGAAUUCUGAGAAGUAAUGGGGUAAGAAAAGAACUUGCUUCUGUGGACUCUCAGGAAAACUGGUUCCUUCCUACCUAGCUGAAAAGAUAGCCACCCCUCCUGCCCCAGUCUAUAGGACGAUCUGCGUUUUUGAUCACCCUGCUCCCCCAGGAGGAGCCUGGAGAAUCCCCAUUGAUCUCAGGCAUGGAGGUUUCUAUUCUGUGCACAGCCAUCACUGGAGAGAGACUUGCUUGUCUAUAUUAGGAGCUAGUCGGUGAGUCAGUGGGAAAUCAUCUGACAACGUUUAAACAUAUCGGCUUAGUAAACAUUUCCACACAAAAAAAUGAUAGAUACAGUUCAAAACAAAAUAUAUAAAAUGCAGGAUGAAGUGAAUCAUCCAAAAGAAGCCAGAUCUUUCAGAUUGGGCAGAGCUCCAAAUACUAGCUGAAAUCAAAAUCAUUAGGGCUUUGUUCUCUCUCGCUUUCUGUCUGAGUAACACUUUGGUUCCUCAAUACCAAAAGUCUGAUUCAUGUUAA
Molecule: long non-coding RNA, 1098 nt
Organism: Dermochelys coriacea (leatherback sea turtle)
Lineage: Eukaryota; Metazoa; Chordata; Testudines; Dermochelyidae
Exons: 2
Source: RefSeq, a predicted model, not a curated record